Molecule: ribosomal RNA, 253 nt
Filed under: uncultured bacterium
Lineage: Bacteria
Description: partial 16S ribosomal RNA
Rfam family: Bacterial small subunit ribosomal RNA
Source: RNAcentral
UACGUAGGGAGCGAGCGUUGUCUGGAAUUACUGGGUGUAAAGGGUGCGUAGGCGGCCUUGCAAGUCAGGCGUGAAAACCAUGGGCUCAACCCGUGGACUGCGUUUGAAACUGUGAGGCUUGAGUGAAGUAGAGGUAGGCGGAAUUCCCGGUGUAGCGGUGAAAUGCGUAGAGAUCGGGAGGAACACCAGUGGCGAAGGCGGCCUACUGGGCUUUAACUGACGCUGAGGCACGAAAGCAUGGGUAGCAAACAGG